AAAUGCAGCUAUCCCAAGGCAAGUUGGUAUGAAACCAUUAUCAGUCAUGAUCAGUCAUUCCUGUGCAGAGGCAGGAAUCUGAUUGGAGUGUUUGAGAAACAGCCAGAGGCAGGAGCCCAUGGAGCGGAGUGCCCGAAGAGGAGCAGGUCUAGUCUAGCUGCUGUGAGCACAGACUGAAAUAGGGACAAGGGCGGGGUGGGAGACCACCCAGAAGGUGAUUGCAAUAAAGAAAGCAAGAGAUGACCAUGCUGUAGAGCAGGGUGAUGGUGAAAGAGAAGGAUGGAUGCUGAACAGCAUGUUAGUAGCUACUGGAAUGAUGCACUAGGAAGAGAAAUCUUGAUGAAGCAGAAUACAGAUGGAUGAAGAUGGAGUGAAAUCCUGGGUGAGAAGAGAUGGAAAUUUGGGCACAAACAGAAAUAUCUUGCAAUUGUUAUCUCACAGAAAGAGUUUGUCUUCCGGGUGCUAGCAGAGCCAAGUAUUCAACAAUGAGAACUGCGGUGGAGAAAGACUGGCUUAGUUUAUUAUGAAUGGUGCCAUCCAGGAGAACAGGAAGCUAUGGCUCAAAGGCCGGAACUCCUCCCCGGCAUGUAGGUUACAGAUUAUGUAGGGCAAAAUCACAAGACAUCGUGGGAUAGGGGCUCGAGGUCAUGUUGGGUGAGGAUUGGUUGGAGGCGAAGUAAAGGUAAUAAAUCAUUUCUUCAGGUCUUGAGGACAGCUCUGAGGUCUGCUCUGGCGCCCCUCUGUCUGGCUUUAUGGAAAAGUAGCCAGGGGUUCGUUCCACCUUAGGGUUCAGGAGCUGAUAACUUAGAUCAAGAUAUUAUCUUUAGCUUAACAGAAACCCAUACCUUGUGACCCUUAGUCAUGGCAGGGCCACUGUCUCUGGUUGCCUUGCGGGGGUUAACGACUAGCGAGGGAAAGGGCUAAGGCUCACAGGGCAUGCUGGGAAGAAACUGAAUAGAGUGUUGAAGCUACAUAUUAAGUGAAAACCAUACAUUAAAUCAGGAUCCUCGGUUUCACAAUUUCCGUUUUCUCAUAUACAAAAUGUUUAUCUUUGAUUGCUUCCCCUUUUCAUCGCUACUAGGAAGGGGAUCUUUAAGCUCUAUCUAAGUCUUGUUAUGAAAAGCCAUCGAUAUGAGGAAGGGAAAGGUAGCAAGGCCUGUUGUACGAUGAUUUCUUUGGAGAAACAAAGAUGUGUG
Long non-coding RNA from Rhinolophus ferrumequinum (greater horseshoe bat), 1196 nucleotides. RefSeq lists it as uncharacterized. The transcript is spliced from 3 exons. The record is from RefSeq and is a predicted model, not a curated record. Lineage: Eukaryota; Metazoa; Chordata; Mammalia; Chiroptera; Rhinolophidae.